Rhipicephalus microplus (southern cattle tick) is the source of this 461-nucleotide long non-coding RNA. NCBI's taxonomy places the organism in Eukaryota, Metazoa, Arthropoda, Arachnida, Ixodida, Ixodidae. The record is from RefSeq and is a predicted model, not a curated record.
AGUCCCUUGCUAGCUAGCGUCUCGUGUGGUUGUGUCUUUGCUGAGCGCGUAAAGUAGAACAAUGGCGACUUCCGCUUUUGUCGUUAAACCAGCGCGAAGUUCAAGCUACGGGUUUAUUUGCGGCAAGCACUCUUCCUCGCGAUAAAUCUACUCUUGAGUGACGGCAGCGAUGAACACUAAUGUUCUCAGCUUCAUAGUGCACCUCGUGUCAAGGACGGGGGUACAAGCUGUCCGGGUUCUUAGUACUUCAAAGUGAGAGAUGCACACUGGCCCAAGCACUACCUCCAACUUCAUGCUACUGUGAAAUCCCGAGAAAUCACCCCCUCGACGCUGAAAGAUGAUCUGGAAGGGGCCCUUGCUUGGUCUCGGACACUAAUAUAGAAGUUCCUCAAAGAAAAAUGCACACCUGUGUUUCUAAUGAAAUGCUGCAUUGAAUACACAUGCAUUUACUAUUUUACAGA